GGAGGAGUAAUCAAGCCUGGCCAAAGUAAGCACUAUGUGCUUUUGGCUCAGGAGUUCGUGGGUUCAAAUCCCACCUCCUCCA
RNAcentral lists this transfer RNA (82 nucleotides) under Nitrosopumilus oxyclinae. Its description in RNAcentral is "tRNA-Gln". It matches the Rfam family "tRNA". From Rfam's summary of the family: Transfer RNA (tRNA) molecules are approximately 80 nucleotides in length. Their secondary structure includes four short double-helical elements and three loops (D, anti-codon, and T loops). Further hydrogen bonds mediate the characteristic L-shaped molecular structure. tRNAs have two regions of fundamental functional importance: the anti-codon, which is responsible for specific mRNA codon recognition, and the 3' end, to which the tRNAs corresponding amino acid is attached (by aminoacyl-tRNA synthetases). tRNAs cope with the degeneracy of the genetic code in two manners: having more than one tRNA (with a specific anti-codon) for a particular amino acid; and 'wobble' base-pairing, i.e. permitting non-standard base-pairing at the 3rd anti-codon position. RNAcentral also lists the same sequence under 2 other names. Lineage: Archaea; Thermoproteati; Nitrososphaerota; Nitrososphaeria; Nitrosopumilales; Nitrosopumilaceae. The record is from RNAcentral.